AAAAAAAAAAGCACGAGGCUCCAACAAGUUUGCCAGACUUUCAUUGUAACAUAACAACUUAAAUCCACAUUUCAUCUCCCGAGGCCGGAGGUUGGGAGGGCUGAGCGUGUACAGGGAAGUCAGCGGGCCCGAGCUCAGGUCCGGAGUCCGCGGCAUGUCCGGGCAGGACAUCUGCCUCCUGGACCUCAGUGUCUUAGUUUCUUGGGAAGUAAAAUUGGAUUAAUAAGAGCAUUCCUCUUGUAAGGUUCUUGUGUCGAUGAAAUGAGACAAACUGCAAAGCCUUCCGCACAACGCCCCGCACGUGGCAGGCACAACACACGCUAGCAAAUAUUAUCACCAUCACCAUUAUCUCCUAAGGGAUAUUUUAACACCAAAUGAAGCUUUUUUUUUUUUUUUAAUUUAAGUGAUAGGACCCCACUGAAGCCAAAAUGACAGGGCUUAAAUCACAUACAUUCCGCUUUUGGAGCAAGUCACUACAUCGCCCUCACUGAUUUUCUAUGCGGCUUCAGUGGACCUGAGAAUUGCUGGAUUCGGUGAUAUGCACGUUCUUUCUGCUCUAAGAGGCAAUGCGUUUGUAAUUCUUCCCCGCCUGAUUAGCCAAAGGAGUAUCCCGGGGCCCACGGCCAAAGAGGAGUGAGAAGUCAGGUGCCUUUAGUGGCCAUCCUGGACCUGGGUUAGAUUCCAGCUCUACACAGACCUCUCUGUGCCGGCCGGGCGGAUUCAGGCAAUGAGAAAGCACAGAUGUGCAAUCCUUCGCCACCUCCCCUCCCUGUGUUUGUGACAUCAGGCUUCAGCCGCACCAGCAAUCCACCGAGGCUGCAGGGUCCUGGUCCGGGACCCAGCGCCUGGAAGUGCCCUGGUUUUGUCCUGCAAAAGCCGGCUGCGUGGGCAGAGGGUCCGUACCGCCAUCCCGCCCCCUCCCCGGGUCCCCGCUCAGGCCACCGCAGAGCCACACAGCGCGGGCCCUCCAGCAGAGGCUCAUCUAGGGAGGCCUCUUCUUCCCACUCAGCCUCCCUCUGCCUCUCCCUGCUGGGACUUGGGUGGGAGAAGCAGUGGGAGGAUCCACAGACUGAGAGCCAAGAAGCCAGAAGAAGCCGGAAGAUACGGGAACCUAGAGGGAAAAGCAUUCAGGGCCAGAAUGAGGACCCUCGGUGCUCCGUGGACAUACCUCCUGAGAUGGAACACACCCCCUGA
This 1194-nucleotide long non-coding RNA is filed under the name Ursus maritimus (polar bear). RNAcentral's name for it is "lncRNA (ENSUMAG00000002419.1)". Lineage: Eukaryota; Metazoa; Chordata; Mammalia; Carnivora; Ursidae. The record is from RNAcentral.